UACGUAGGGUGCAAGCGUUGUCCGGAAUUAUUGGGCGUAAAGAGCUCGUAGGCGGUUCGUCGCGUCGGCUGUGAAAACCCGGAGCUCAACUCCGGGCCUGCAGUCGAUACGGGCGGACUCGAGUUCGGCAGGGGAGACUGGAAUUCCUGGUGUAGCGGUGAAAUGCGUAGAUAUCGGGAGGAACACCAGUGGCGAAAGCGGCUACCUGGCCCAUUCUUGACGCUGAGGCGCGAAAGCUAGGGGAGCAAACGGG
RNAcentral lists this ribosomal RNA (253 nucleotides) under uncultured bacterium. Its description in RNAcentral is "partial 16S ribosomal RNA". It matches the Rfam family "Bacterial small subunit ribosomal RNA", at positions 524 to 776 of the family's 1533-position model. The record is from RNAcentral.